This 409-nucleotide ribosomal RNA is filed under the name uncultured bacterium. RNAcentral's name for it is "bacterial SSU rRNA". It matches the Rfam family "Bacterial small subunit ribosomal RNA", at positions 30 to 416 of the family's 1533-position model. The record is from RNAcentral.
AGCGAACGCUGGCGGCGUACUUAACACAUGCAAGUCGAGCGAGGGUCAUGGUGUGAGCAAUCAUGUCGUGACUCUAGCGGCGGACGGGUGAGUAACACGUGGGUAACCUGCCCUCGAGUCCGGGACACCCCCUCGAAAGGGGGGCUAAUACUGGAUACGUUCCUCGGGUCGCAAGAUCUGGGGAGGAAAGGUAGCUCGCAAGGGCUGCCGCUCGUGGAGGGGCUCGCGGCCUANCAGCUAGUUGGUGGGGUAACGGCCUACCAAGGCGAUGACGGGUAGCUGGUCUGAGAGGACGACCAGCCACACGGGGACUGAGACACGGCCCCGACUCCUACGGGAGGCAGCAGUGGGGAAUCUUCCGCAAUGGGCGAAAGCCUGACGGAGUGACGCCGCGUGGGGGAUGAAGGCC